UACAGAGGUCCCGAGCGUUGUUCGGAUUCAUUGGGCGUAAAGGGUGCGUAGGUCGCAUGGUAAGUCGGGUGUGAAAUCUCAGGGCUCAACCCUGAAACUGCACUCGAUACUGCCGUGCUCGAGCACUGGAGAGGAGACUGGAAUUUACGGUGUAGCAGUGAAAUGCGUAGAUAUCGUAAGGAAGACCGGUGGCGAAAGCUAGUCUCUGGACAGUCGCUGACACUGAGGCACGAAGGCCAGGGGAGCAAACGGG
RNAcentral lists this ribosomal RNA (253 nucleotides) under uncultured Spartobacteria bacterium. Its description in RNAcentral is "partial 16S ribosomal RNA". It matches the Rfam family "Bacterial small subunit ribosomal RNA", at positions 524 to 776 of the family's 1533-position model. The record is from RNAcentral. Lineage: Bacteria; Pseudomonadati; Verrucomicrobiota; Spartobacteria.